RNAcentral lists this ribosomal RNA (490 nucleotides) under uncultured bacterium. RNAcentral describes it as "partial 16S ribosomal RNA". It matches the Rfam family "Bacterial small subunit ribosomal RNA", at positions 28 to 507 of the family's 1533-position model. The record is from RNAcentral.
GAUGAACGCUAGCUACAGGCUUAACACAUGCAAGUCGAGGGGCAGCAUGGUCUUAGCUUGCUAAGGCCGAUGGCGACCGGCGCACGGGUGAGUAACACGUAUCCAACCUGCCGUCUACUCUUGGACAGCCUUCUGAAAGGAAGAUUAAUACAAGAUGGCAUCAUGAGUCCGCAUGUUCACAUGAUUAGAGGUAUUCCGGUAGACGAUGGGGAUGCGUUCCAUUAGAUAGUAGGCGGGGUAACGGCCCACCUAGUCUUCGAUGGAUAGGGGUUCUGAGAGGAAGGUCCCCCACAUGGGAACUGAGACACGGUCCAAACUCCUACGGGAGGCAGCAGUGAGGAAUAUUGGUCAAUGGGCGAGAGCCUGAACCAGCCAAGUAGCGUGAAGGAUGACUGCCCUAUGGGUUGUAAACUUCUUUUAGAAAGGAAUAAAGUCGGGUAUGGAUACCCGUUUGCAUGUACUUUAUGAAUAAGGAUCGGCUAACUCCGUG